GCUGGGGGUGGUGGCUCACACCUGUAAUCCCAGCAUGUUGGGAGGCUGAGGUGGGAUGAUUGCUUGAGCCCAGGAGUUCACAACCAGCCUGGGCAACAUAGCAAGACCCCACCUCAA
Molecule: unclassified non-coding RNA, 117 nt
Organism: Callithrix jacchus (white-tufted-ear marmoset)
Lineage: Eukaryota; Metazoa; Chordata; Mammalia; Primates; Cebidae
Rfam family: Metazoan signal recognition particle RNA
About the family: The signal recognition particle (SRP) is a universally conserved ribonucleoprotein. It is involved in the co-translational targeting of proteins to membranes.
Source: Ensembl